UACGAAGGGGGCUAGCGUUGCUCGGAAUCACUGGGCGUAAAGCGCACGUAGGCGGAUCUUUAAGUCAGGGGUGAAAUCCCAAGGCUCAACCUUGGAACUGCCUUUGAUACUGGGGGAUCUCGAGUCCGGAAGAGGUUGGUGGAACUGCGAGUGUAGAGGUGAAAUUCGUAGAUAUUCGCAAGAACACCAGUGGCGAAGGCGGCCAACUGGUCCGGUACUGACGCUGAGGUGCGAAAGCGUGGGGAGCAAACAGGG
This 255-nucleotide ribosomal RNA is filed under the name uncultured bacterium. RNAcentral's name for it is "partial 16S ribosomal RNA". It matches the Rfam family "Bacterial small subunit ribosomal RNA", at positions 524 to 777 of the family's 1533-position model. The record is from RNAcentral.